This is a small nuclear RNA of Choloepus didactylus (southern two-toed sloth), 108 nucleotides long. The record is from RefSeq and is a predicted model, not a curated record. NCBI's taxonomy places the organism in Eukaryota, Metazoa, Chordata, Mammalia, Pilosa, Megalonychidae.
GUGAUUGCUUUGGUAGCACAUACACUAAAACUGGAACGAUACAGAGAAGAUUAGCAUGGCCCUUGCGCAAGGAUGACAUGCUAAUUCAGUGGAGUAUUCCAUUUUUAA